AUGAGAUCAGAGUGACCUCAGGCUCAUGACCUGCAAAAAGAUUCCAAGAUGCUUUCCAGGCUCAAACCCAGACAUGAGAGCCUCAGGCAACAAAUUGGUGAACCAACGCAGGGCCUGAGAAAGGCAGAGGACAUUUGGAAGAAGCACUGCUGGUUUGGAGCUCCAUGGAAGAAGAAAAGAAUUAAAGAAAAUUAAUAUCAGAGAAGAUACUGCUACCUGCUGAGAGGCCCUGGAACUAUUCUGGAGACUGUGCCCUAUCCUGCAUCUGUCAUCACCUGCUGCUGGUUCCAGGCUCCAAAGAUGAAUUGGAGAAAUGGACUUUCCCCCUGCUUUUAUAAAGCUUGUCUGCCAUUAAAAAUUUGAACCUUG
Molecule: long non-coding RNA, 369 nt
Organism: Mus musculus (house mouse)
Lineage: Eukaryota; Metazoa; Chordata; Mammalia; Rodentia; Muridae
Product: RIKEN cDNA 1700041A01 gene
Exons: 3
Source: RefSeq, marked validated